This 480-nucleotide ribosomal RNA is filed under the name uncultured bacterium. RNAcentral describes it as "partial 16S ribosomal RNA". It matches the Rfam family "Bacterial small subunit ribosomal RNA", at positions 28 to 501 of the family's 1533-position model. The record is from RNAcentral.
GACGACCGCUGGCGGCGUGCUUAACACAUGCAAGUCGAACGGUGAAAGCGGAGCUUGCUCCGCUGGAUCAGUGGCGAAGGGGUGAGUAACACGGGGGCAACCUGCCCCUGACCUCGGGAAAGCUGCGCGAAAGAGUAGCUAAUCCCGGAUACGAAUCCUGCAGGCAUCUGCGCGAUUGUAAAGUUUUGCGGUCAGGGACGGGCCCGAGGGAUAUCAGCUUGGGGGUGGGGUAGUGGCACACCAAGGCGACGACGGGUAGCCGGCCUGAGAGGGCGACCGGCCACACUGGGGCUGAUACACGGCCCAGACUUCUACGGGAGGCAGCAGUGGAGAAUAUUGCGCAAUGGGCGAAAGCCUGCCGCAGCAACGCCGCGUGAGGGAUGACGGCCUUCGGGUUGUAAAGCUCUUUUGUCAGGGAAGAAACACCGGCUCUAACACAGUCUGGGAAUGACGGUACCUGAAGAAUAAGCACCGGCUAAC